This 229-nucleotide unclassified non-coding RNA is filed under the name plant metagenome. RNAcentral's name for it is "partial contains small subunit ribosomal RNA, internal transcribed spacer 1, and 5.8S ribosomal RNA". The stretch from base 1 to 54 matches the Rfam family "Eukaryotic small subunit ribosomal RNA", at positions 1778 to 1831 of the family's 1831-position model. The record is from RNAcentral.
GGAAGUAAAAGUCGUAACAGGGUUUCCGUAGGUGAACCUGCGGAAGGAUCAUUCAUAAUAAGUGUUUUAUGGCACUUUUUUAAAUCCAUAUCCACCUUGUGUGCAAUGUCAGGGUUGGUCUCUUUUGGUCAGCCCCAAACAUCAACUAUUAUCUCAACUCUUUGUCUGAAAAAUAUUAUGAAUAAAACAAUUCAAAAUACAACUUUCAACAACGGAUCUCUUGGCUCUC